This 837-nucleotide ribosomal RNA is filed under the name uncultured Acidobacteriaceae bacterium. Its description in RNAcentral is "bacterial SSU rRNA". It matches the Rfam family "Bacterial small subunit ribosomal RNA", at positions 8 to 818 of the family's 1533-position model. The record is from RNAcentral. Lineage: Bacteria; Pseudomonadati; Acidobacteriota; Terriglobia; Terriglobales; Acidobacteriaceae.
AGAGUUUGAUCCUGGCUCAGAAUCAACGCUGGCGGCGUGCCUAACACAUGCAAGUCGAGCGGGAAAGGGGGCUUCGGUCCCUGAGUAUAGCGGCGGACGGGUGAGUAACACGUGGGUAAUUUGCCCUUGGGUGUGGAAUAACUCAGGGAAACUUGAGCUAAUACCGCAUGACAUCCUCUUCUCACAGGAGUUGAGGAUCAAAGCCGGGGACCCUUCGGGGCCUGGCGCCUGAGGAAAAGCCCGCGCCCGAUUAGCUAGUUGGUGAGGUAAUGGCUCACCAAGGCUUCGAUCGGUAGCCGGCCUGAGAGGGCGGACGGCCACACUGGGACUGAGACACGGCCCAGACUCCUACGGGAGGCAGCAGUGGGGAACUUUUGUCAAUGGGGGAAACCCUGAACAAGCAACGCCGCGUGAAGGACGAAGACCUUCGGGUUGUAAACUUCUGUCGGAGGGGACGAAAGCGGUCGAGGCUAAUAUCCUCGGCCGUUGACGGUACCCUACGAGGAAGCCCCGGCUAACUCCGUGCCAGCAGCCGCGGUAAUACGGGGGGGGGCAAGCGUUGUUCGGAAUUACUGGGCGUAAAGGGCGCGUAGGCGGGCGGGCAAGUCUCUCGUGAAAUCCCACGGCUCAACCGUGGAACUGCGGGAGAUACUGCCUGUCUUGAGUCCGGGAGAGGAGGGUGGAAUUCCCAGUGUAGCGGUGAAAUGCGUAGAUAUUGGGAGGAACACCGGUGGCGAAGGCGGCUCUCUGGACCGGUACUGACGCUGAGGCGCGAAAGCUAGGGGAGCAAACGGGAUUAGAUACCCCGGUAGUCCUAGCCGUAAACGAUGAGCACUU